This 119-nucleotide ribosomal RNA is filed under the name Oncorhynchus kisutch (coho salmon). Lineage: Eukaryota; Metazoa; Chordata; Actinopteri; Salmoniformes; Salmonidae. The record is from RNAcentral.
GCUUACGACCACACCAGCCUGAGUACGCCUGAUCUCGUCUGAUCUCGGAAGCUAAGCAGGGUCGGGACUGGUUAGUAUUUGGAUUGGAGACCGCCUGGGAAUACCAGGUGCUGUAAGCU